Molecule: transfer RNA, 75 nt
Filed under: Sphaerochaeta sp.
Lineage: Bacteria; Pseudomonadati; Spirochaetota; Spirochaetia; Spirochaetales; Sphaerochaetaceae
Also listed under: 1 other name
Description: tRNA-Arg
Rfam family: tRNA
About the family: Transfer RNA (tRNA) molecules are approximately 80 nucleotides in length.
Source: RNAcentral
GCCCCGAUAGUUCAGUGGAUAGAACGAGGCCCUCCUAAGGCUUAGACGCAGGUUCGAUUCCUGCUCGGGGCACCA